RNAcentral lists this long non-coding RNA (1015 nucleotides) under Mus spicilegus (steppe mouse). RNAcentral describes it as "lncRNA (ENSMSIG00000014229.1)". Lineage: Eukaryota; Metazoa; Chordata; Mammalia; Rodentia; Muridae. The record is from RNAcentral.
UCACAAUUCAGGCAGAGAGACACAGCUACACACAAGCUGUCCCACAGGCCCUGGACCCACUCACCUCACACUGAGAUGGAGCCCCAGCCCAAAGGACUGCUGAGGCUGUCAGGGAUGAAGUUUUAAAAGAAUUCCAGGGCUGGGAGUUCUAGCCACAUAUGAGAUGUGGGCUACAGGAGCACAGGGAACUAGAUCAACUCAUCAGUGAAGAAACAGCUGUCAGAAGUUUGAGGGAUUUUGUGGGUGCCAUUCUUGGAGUUGUGUUGGAAGAUCCAACAGAGGAGUUUGGAUCCUCAAAAGAGCAAAAGAGAGGAUUUCUUCCUAAGGAAACCAACCUGCGUUCUAAGUAACAUGUCCCUGGACAGGCAUUCUGGGAGUCUGAGCUGUGUGAGGUGGAGGAAGCAAGUCUGAGGCAGGGGGCAAUGGUGGCCUGCCAGUUCUUCCAAGCCCUUUCCUUCUGCACACAAGUGACCUGGCUACAUACAGCACCACCAAGAACACCUGCUUGCCUCUCUGCCUCAUCCAUCAUCCGAACCUCAGGUUCACGCACUCAACAUUAAUCAUUUGGAGCAAACACCUGGCAAGAGAGACCACCAGGGGGACCUCCAAAAGGAGGCCUUUCAUGAGUGACAAUGGGGAGGGAGGAGAGAGUGGAGAGUGAGCAGAGGCUCCACCCUGUGCUGGUGGGAUGCUGAGGCAGCUGCUGGGAGACAGUACUGAUUAGCAUCGCCUGUAGAAUCCAGAGAAGUAGAGAGGCAGAUGAGGAGCUGCUGGGAGAAUGAGCAUCCUUAAAUAAGAGACAUAAGUGUAAUGGGAACAGAGGAGUUCCUAAGUGGCUCAUCUCAGGCUGCUCUGCAAUAACGGGAAUGUUAAAUAUACACCAGGAGGGAGGGGGGGAAGGAUAGGUUGAAUGAGCCAAUGGGGUUACUAGAAAUAUGCGCAUGCAGCCACCUAUCUGCAGCCAGUUCUGGGUUUGUUUGGAAACAAGUAGCGAUGUUUUUAAUGGCAUAUUAAA